Small nucleolar RNA from Anser brachyrhynchus (Pink-footed goose), 82 nucleotides. NCBI's taxonomy places the organism in Eukaryota, Metazoa, Chordata, Aves, Anseriformes, Anatidae. The record is from Ensembl.
CAGCCUGAAAUGAUGCUGUGAAUUCAUGUCUCUUCUCCGAGAUGAGUUCUGAGGACAACCGGAUGCGUUUCUGAUCAGGCUU